RNAcentral lists this ribosomal RNA (468 nucleotides) under uncultured bacterium. RNAcentral describes it as "partial 16S ribosomal RNA". It matches the Rfam family "Bacterial small subunit ribosomal RNA", at positions 28 to 507 of the family's 1533-position model. The record is from RNAcentral.
GACGAACGCUGGCGGCGUGCUUAACACAUGCCAGUCGAACGGAAAGGCCCUGCUUUUGUGGGGUGCUCGAGUGGCGAACGGGUGAGUAACACGUGAGUAACCUGCCCUUGACUUUGGGAUAACUUCAGGAAACUGGGGCUAAUACCGGAUAGGAGCUCCUGCUGCAUGGUGGGGGUUGGAAAGUUUCGGCGGUUGGGGAUGGACUCGCGGCUUAUCAGCUUGUUGGUGGGAUAGUGGCUUACCAAGGCUUUGACGGGUAGCCGGCCUGAGAGGGUGACCGGCCACAUUGGGACUGAGAUACGGCCCAGACUCCUACGGGAGGCAGCAGUGGGGAAUAUUGCACAAUGGGCGGAAGCCUGAUGCAGCAACGCCGCGUGCGGGAUGACGGCCUUCGGGUUGUAAACCGCUUUCGCCUGUGACGAAGCGUGAGUGACGGUAAUGGGUAAAGAAGCACCGGCUAACUACGUG